GCCCAGGUGGUGAAAUUGGUAGACACGCAUGAUUCAGGUUCAUGUGCCGCGAGGUGUGGGGGUUCGAAUCCCCCCUUGGGCACCA
Molecule: transfer RNA, 85 nt
Filed under: Opitutales bacterium
Lineage: Bacteria; Pseudomonadati; Verrucomicrobiota; Opitutia; Opitutales
Description: tRNA-Leu
Rfam family: tRNA
About the family: Transfer RNA (tRNA) molecules are approximately 80 nucleotides in length.
Source: RNAcentral